GACAGGAAGCUUGAGCCGAGUCUUAAUGGUGGAGCUUCGGGGCCUCAUGGGCCACUGCUUGAACACCUUGUUUACUAGUCUAGCUGUAGUCUGUGGAUCAUCAUAUGUUAGCUGAAAACAUCCAAUAGAUGUUCCCAGUUUCUUCUGAUUGCAUGUGCAUGGCACAGAUAAGGGGGUCAGCCAUUCAAUGGUCACAGUUGCAUUUUUUUGCUGGUAUGUGCGUGCAUGUGUCUGUGUGUGUUUAUGUGUGUUCAUGCCAUCGGUCAACCUCAGAUGUCAUUUUUAUGAGAUAGAAUCUCUCACUGGGACUGGAGCUUUCUGCGUGUCAGCCUUACAGACUGAGCUAUUUCUCCAACCCUGAAUCUCUCUGUUAAUGUGGCUCACAUUCUUGUGAACCAUCAAAGGCUCCUUGAGGCAGAGACCCACUGUGAUAUUACUGUACGUCAUUUAAUCUCCAGUCAUCUGAGUUGUGUUUGUUCAAGGUGAAUGUUUCCAGUGAACGGGUAAUUACAAUCUUUUAUGGCCUGGAUCCUUACCUGUUUAAACAGCGUUCACUGAGGUGGAUGGCCAAUAAGAGGCACAGUCAUGAAGCUAUGGGACGACCUGGAUGCAGAAGAACCUGGGGCCUUAGGAGUGAAGACAGCCAGGAGAGGCUGGUACCGGCCCGCCUCCCUCACGGAGUCUCCUGCAGAACUGAGAAGCACCCUGACCUGACUAUGAAUUUUUUUUUUUUUUUAGACAAGUUUUCCAUAUGUAGCUCUGGCUGUUUUAGAGCCCGAUAUGUAGAGCAGGCUGGGUUUUGAACUCAACAGAGAUCUACCUGCCUCUGCCUCCCAAGUGCUGGGAUUAGGGCAUGCACCACCACCACCUGGCUAAAUUUGUUUUUAUGAGUUAAGUCAUUUGUUUCACAUAUUAAAAAGAGACCGUGGGAGUGGC
This 936-nucleotide long non-coding RNA is filed under the name Mus musculus (house mouse). Its description in RNAcentral is "predicted gene, 49092". Lineage: Eukaryota; Metazoa; Chordata; Mammalia; Rodentia; Muridae. The record is from RNAcentral.